Long non-coding RNA from Octopus sinensis (East Asian common octopus), 241 nucleotides. RefSeq lists it as uncharacterized. NCBI's taxonomy places the organism in Eukaryota, Metazoa, Mollusca, Cephalopoda, Octopoda, Octopodidae. The record is from RefSeq and is a predicted model, not a curated record. The transcript is spliced from 3 exons.
CUAAAAAUUAGAAUCUGUGGUCACCACACAGUGUCAAGCUAACAACGGAGCUUGAAGCAAUUCGGCGUUACUACAUCAAAAAAGAUUGCUACAAUCCAGCAGAUGAACUACAGGGAGAGGCUGAAAGAACUAUGACUCUACUCCCUAGAGCACAGACGUGAGAGAUAUGUAAUAAUUUACUUGUGGAAAAUACAGGAAGGGCUAGUACCUAGUUUUGGCAUCGAAUGUUAUAUGAAUGUUC